UGCUCAUCGACCACUCGAUCGCCCGGCCU
Molecule: small RNA, 29 nt
Filed under: Bombyx mori (domestic silkworm)
Lineage: Eukaryota; Metazoa; Arthropoda; Insecta; Lepidoptera; Bombycidae
Description: ovarian small RNA-34160
Source: RNAcentral